Molecule: long non-coding RNA, 1504 nt
Filed under: Fukomys damarensis (Damara mole-rat)
Lineage: Eukaryota; Metazoa; Chordata; Mammalia; Rodentia; Bathyergidae
Description: lncRNA (ENSFDAG00000027831.1)
Source: RNAcentral
CGGCGGUCUGGCUGUCAAUCAUCCACAGGCUCUCCCAGAGCUUGCUAAGGUGCCUGGCAACACCUGCCGAAGUCGACAACUCACAGAGACCCAUCAUUCCACCGGCAGGACAGAAGGACAAACUAUGUUCUCAGCAGUGCUCACACUGCUUUGGGACCAAGAUGCCAUUAAGCUUUAUGCCUCUGACACGCACGGGCAGAUGUGGGAGACACCGGGCACCACGUAGGGGGAGGCUGAUGGCAGGGCACGGAGUAGGGUGUGCUUCGGAGCCACAGUGCUGGUGCCGGGCCCCUGCAGGGGUCCUGCACCGUGGGUGUUGAAGCACUGUUUUCUGGGCGCAGAGUGUCAGGCCGGCCUAGGAAGUGCUGUGAGCCAGGACUUAACUACAGAAAGCUCUGUGGUCUGCGCUGAACACCCUACACAGUCAUUCCUGCUACCUGGAGGGGGUUAGUCCCAGGAACCCUGCAGACGCCAGCAUCCAAGGAUGCUCCCGUCCUUCAUUUAUUAUUAUUAUUUUAUUAGGGACAGGGUCAUGCUGUGCAGUCCAUGGCAAACUCGGCAGUCUUCCUGCCUCAGCCUCCCCAGUGCCGGGAUAGCAGGUGAGCAACAGACACUACGCCUACCUGGAGCGCACAAGUGAUUGCAUAGAACGAUGCUCGUCCCCUGUACCUUAAGUCUCCUCACUGCGGGGCUUGGCUAACGUGACAUGGCUCAGGCUGUUACUGGGGUUCGGGUGCCAGAGUCUCCUUCUGGAGCUCGUUUCUGGAUUCUUCUUGACCUGAACAAAGAAUUGGACGACACAAGUGUGAGAGGCAGCAGGCUGUUACACGUGUCCAAGGCGGCUCUGCAGAGCGCGUGCUGGCCAGUGGCAGGAGACUCGGCUCUGUCACAUCAAGCACUGCUCUGGUGCUGCACCUGUUCACCUGAGCUGAAAUACAGUUGGAAAUCUUGGACACCAGGUGUGUGGGGACACCUGUGACCUCGGCAUCGGGAAGCUGAGUCAGGAGGAUUGCCACAAGUUUCAGGCCAGUCUGAACCACACAGUGGGCCCUCAUCUCACACUGCCCCCAGACACACAGAACUGGGCACCUUGUAUUCUUUCUGGAACCGUAUGGCCCAGGGAAGCGGUUACACUGUGAAGUGGUCAAAACACUGGGAGGGUGUGUUACACGUGCCCUCAUAGAGCCUGAUUCCUUUAUCAGAAGCACUGGGCCAAAUGCUGGUAGCUGUUAUCCAGCAAUUCUUUUCCUCUUUCUAUUAGUAGUAGAAGUUCCACAUUCACUCUGACAGUAAGGAGGAGAGAGGAGAAGAGAGUGAAGGAGAGAGGGAGAGAGAGGGCUCAGCAUCCCUUGCAGCUAGAAACCACCAGGUGCGUAUAAGUGAUAGCAGCCUGGAUACCUUCAGGUUCAUGUCCUUAAAGGGACAUAUGCCCCUUUGCCCACUCACUGGAACAAAGAUGAGGUGGUUGGAUCUGCGCAGCCACCUUGGGACAAAAGACAAAGGC